GGGAAUGGAAAGACCGGUACAAGCGGGGUAGGUGUACAAUAGGCAAAUCCGUUGUAUAAUCCGAAGACGUGAUGUGGAGCGAAAUAAAGUAGUGAAGCGUGUGAGCCAUGUGCCGAGAAAAGCUGCUAUUGUGUAAUGCGUGCCCGUACCGUAAACCGACACAGGUGGAUGAGGAGAGAAUCCUAAGGCCGGCGGAAGAAGCAUUGUUAAGGAAUUCGGCAAAAUGACCCCGUAACUUCGGGAGAAGGGGUGCCUGCGAGAGCAGGCCGCAGAGAAUUGGCUCAAGCAACUGUUUAGCAAAAACACAGGUCUAUGCGAGACCGAAAGGUGAAGUAUAUGGGCUGACGCCUGCCCGGUGCUGGGAGGUUAAGAGGAGAGGUUAGCUUCGGCGAAGCUUUGAAUUUAAGCCCCAGUAAACGGCGGCCGUAACAAUAACGGUCCUAAGGUAGCGAAAUUCCUUGUCGGGUAAGUUCCGACCCGCACGAAAGGCGUAAUGAUUUGAGCACUGUCUCGACAAUGCAUCCGGUGAGAUUGAAGAACCAGUGAAGAUGCUGGUUACCCGCGCCAGGACGGAAAGACCCCAUGGAGCUUUACUCCAGUUUGAUACUGGGAUUCGGUACUGCAUGUACAGGAUAGGUGGGAGACGAAGAAGGAUGGACGCCAGUCUGUCCGGAGUCGCUGUUGGGAUACCACCCCUGUAGUACUGGGUUUCUAUCCAGUUGCCAUGAACUGGCAAUGGGACAAUGUCAGGCGGGGAGUUUGACUGGGGCGGUCGCCUCCGAAAGGGUAUCGGAGGCGCUCAAAGGUUCCCUCAGAAUGGUUGGAAACCAUUUGAAGAGUGCAAAGGCAGAAGGGAGCUUGACUGCGACACCGACGGGUGGAGCAGGUACGAAAGUAGGACUUAGUGAUCCGGUGGUAUAAAGUGGGAUUGCCAUCGCUCAACGGAUAAAAGCUACCCUGGGAUAACAGGCUUAUCACUCCCAAGAGUUCACAUCGACGGAGUGGUUUGGCACCUCGAUGUCGGCUCAUCGCAUCCUGGGGCUGUAGCAGGUCCCAAGGGUUGGGCUGUUCGCCCAUUAAAGCGGUACGCGAGCUGGGUUCAGAACGUCGUGAGACAGUUCGGUCCCUAUCCGGCGCGGGCGGAGGAUAUUUGAGAGGAGCUGUCCUUAGUACGAGAGGACCGGGAUGGACGGACCACUGGUGUAUCUGUUGUCGACCAACGGCAUGGCAGAGUAGCCAAGUCUGGAAGGGAUAAACGCUGAAGGCAUCUAAGCGUGAAGCCCCCCUCAAGAUGAGAUAUCCCUCCUUCGGGAGUAAGACCCCUUGAAGACUACAAGGUAGAUAGGGCAGAGGUGGAAGCAUGGCAACAUGUGGAGCUGACUGUUACUAAUAGGUCGAGGGCC
RNAcentral lists this ribosomal RNA (1403 nucleotides) under metagenome. RNAcentral's name for it is "bacterial LSU rRNA". It matches the Rfam family "Bacterial large subunit ribosomal RNA", at positions 1494 to 2925 of the family's 2925-position model. The record is from RNAcentral.